GAAAGAAAGAAAGAACCUCAAAAUGCAAGUGUAUAGUAAUGACUUCACUGUAGAGAUAACAUCGAAUCACCUCUAGUUUAUUAAAUAUUAUAAUAAACCAAAGAAUGGUAUUUUCACUCUUAGUCAUAAAUUACUUGCAACAUGUGUCUCAAUAACAUAAACUAACAAAAAAUUCAGUGAGAUUCAAAACUCAUAGUUCAACUAACAUCCCUGCAGUACUCACUCUUCCUUCUUUAAAAAAAUCAAUGCCAGCAACUUACACAAAAAACUCAUAAACACCAAACAGCGAUUCCUUGCCUCAAAAGUCUCUUUGGAUAUAUACUGGUAUAUCCAUCAGCUUACAAAGUUGUACUCAGUAUGUACACAUAAUUUCAUGUUCUUCUUUUCUUCACUAACUAUUUCGUCUAUACAUUCUCAUUUACUGGUAUACUCUCACAAUAUCUAGGGGCUAAAAAGAUUUUAUUAAUGAAUGUUUUUCCAUUGUGGAGUAUUGGUUGUUUCCCAUUGUUCAUUUUACAGUGCUACAAUUGAUUUUUUCAUAGAAAAAAAAAUCAAUGUUUUAUGUUUUCAUUUUGAGGUACAUUUUCCCAAGUUAAACUGUUGGAUCAAAGGGUCUAAAGGGUUUGAUGCCUUCUCACAUAGUGCCAGAUUCCUUUUCUAUAAGAAUACACAAGCUGGGCACAGUGAUUCUUGCCUGUUAUCCCAGCACUUUGGAGGCUGAGGUGGGUAGAUCACCUGAGAUCAAGAGUUCAAGACCAUCCUGGCCAACAUGGAUAAACCCUGUCUCUACUAAAAAUACAAAAUUAGCCGGGCGUGGUGACAUAUGCUGUAAUCCCAGCUACUCAGGAGACUGAGGCAGGAGAAUUGCUUGAACCCAAUGGUGGGAGGUUGCAGUGAGCCGAGUGUACCAGCACACUCCAGUCUGGGCAGCAGAGUGAGACUCUGUCUCAAAAAAUAAGAAGAAAAUACAUCUAUUGUUAGUACCACCAGCAAUAUACAAAUAUCCAGGAAUAUCCAGUCCUCUUCAUACCAAAUGGAUUUUUCUUUUCUUUUUCUAGUCCUUUGUUUUUUGUUUUUUGUUUUUUUUAGUUUCAUAGAUAUGCAACAUUACUCAAAAGAAUUGCUUUGGCCGGUGCUGUGGCUCACACCUGUAAUUCCAACACUUUGGGAGGCUGAGGCUGGUGGAUCACAAGCUCAGAUGUUCAAGGUCAGCCUGGCCAACAUGGUGAAACCCUGUCUCUACUAAAAUACAAAAAAAUUAGCUGGUCAGGGUGGUGCUCAUCUGUAAUCCCAGCUACUCAGGAGGCUGAGGCAAGAGAAUCUCUUGAACCUGGGAGGAGGAGGUUGCAGUGAGCCAAGAUGGCGUCACUGUACUCCAGCCUGGGUAACACAGAGCAAGACUCCAUCUCAAAAAAAUAAAUAAAAAAUAAAUAAAUAAAAAGAAUCGCUUUAACUCUGUAUUUCUGAAGUUGAAUUGGGGGUGUGCCCCCGCCACCCUCAAGUGUUGAGCCUCUUCACCCCGACAGCCUCCUUGCACACACAAGUAUGAACCCAAAGAGGGAAGUUUCUUAAAGACCCAAGCCCGGACGGCCGGCUCACACACACAUGUGACUGGUUUAAGGGAAAGUGUGUAGCUGGCCUGGAGCAUGGCGCGGCAACCGUUAGUUUAGUACCUGGCAAAGGGUAGACCGUCAGCAGUAGGCGCUGAACUAGCUGCGUCUUGGGAGCCCGAAGGAGUGUGUGAUGCUGUGAGCCCUUCCUCCCCGAGGCUGCAUAGCAAUUACACAUGCCUCCUGAACAGCUUUUCUUACUCUGUCUUCUGUUCUAAGUACAGCAACUACAUGUCCUAAAUCUGCUAACAUUUCAAACAGGUGGUCCGGUUGUCCCCAGAAAGUGCACCCGUUCUUUUGAGACCACAUAUCCCAAAUUUGGACUGGGGACAUGUGGUCACUACUAUUUUGAUAUGUUGGUCUCCCACGCUCCACUAGAACGCAAGCUUAUUAAGAGUAAGGACUGUCUUAUUCAUCAUUCCAAACCUAUAUCAUCCCUUUCUACAACCUACACCAUCCUUUAAUUAUAAAGUUGGUUCGACGUGCUGUCUUGUCACUUAGAGAGUUGCUAUUCUUUGAAAAUAUGGCUCCUAAAAUAGCUCCAUCUCUUUUCUCUCUUCCAGGCUCCGUGUGUGUGUGUGUGUGUGUGUGUGUGUGUGAAAAUGGGUUCCAAAAAUAUAAUUUUCUUUGAUAUGUUAUAUGUAGCAAUAGAGAAGCAAAAGGCAAUAAUAUACCCAGUAAGCACUGCCUAUCAAACUAAUUCUGAAUACUUUAUUGUCCUGCUGACAACUAAAGAAUGGUAUUUGAAAGUCACAAAUUUCACUGCUUUCACGCAGUAUGUAAAUUGAAGUUCGCAUGGCCGAUGAAAGAUAUAAGCCAGAGGUGUCAGUUAUAUAAAGAGUUUCAGUACAGUGCUAUAAAUGCAUCACUCUCAAUAAAUAUUACAAUGAUGAAAAUAGACCCGGCAUGGUGGCUCACGCCUGUAAUUCCAGCACUUUGGAAGGCCAAGGUGGGCAAAUCACAAGAUCAGAAGAUCAAAACCAUCCUGGCUAACAUGGCAAAACCCCGUCUCUACUAAAAAUACAAAAAAAUUAGCCAGGCAUAGUGGUGGGGGCCUGUAGUCCCAGCUACUCAGAAGCCUGAGGCAGGAGAAUCGCAUGAACCAGGGAGGUUGCAGUGAGCUGAGACCGUGCCACUGCACUCCAGCCUGGGCGACACAGAGAGACUCUGUUAAAAAAAAAAGAAAAAAAAGAAGAUGAAAAUACUAAACACACUUUUAGAAAUGGCAUACUAGUAUAGCAUAUUCAUACAGCAAAUUCUCUAGAGUAUCAAGAAUUCUGGCAAAUGUUUUGAUUCUCAACUCUCCACAUUCCACUGACUUUGAGAUCCCAGCACCUAACACUGUCUUCCGGAUUCCUCCUCCUACGAUGACAGGAGCCCAAAAGGCUGAUGGGAGCCUGUCUUGUUGACCUGCACAGUCUUCAAUGUGCAAGGAGACCUCAGCAUCCUCAACUUAGAGCUCAAAUUCAAGCUUUUGCGACUGGACCAAAACAGCUAGACAGUUACAUGAGGGUGAAGGGGAUAGCUACUCAUUUCUAGAAUGGUAAGUUUCACUUGCCAGGAAUUGUUUUUCAUUAUCCAGUAGGGUUUGUAAUUCUCCCUCAAAGAAUUGAAACGACAAAUGCAAGAUAAAUGAGGAAAGGGUCCUUUGGAAAAUAAACAUCCAUCAUCAGUCCCAUUUGUGGGUUCCCAGGACAGGUGGGAAUCUAGGGUAAUAUUAAACAUCUUCUGCAUCUCUUGACACAUCUGGCCCCAGCCCAGCACCUUCUGAGUCUAGAAGACUUUCCAUCUUACGGCUUUCUCUGCUGCCCCGCAGGCCUGCCUAGACAACUGUGGCUUGCCGGCAUGGAGGCCACAAAGCUGCUGAUCAACCAGUGAGUAUGUGUUCUGUCCUUUUCCCCACAUCCUGCACAACCUGAGCUCCAGACACGAUGCACAGCAGAGUGGCGCAGGCUGGGGUCUUGCAGUGCUCACUCUGAGCGCUGCUCCCAGCGGCCAAAGACCGGGCGAGGCAGCAAUGCCACUGCUAUUGGAGGAUGGAGGUGGGGGAUACGGACUGAAGUCCAGAGUGGCCCCCAGGAGCUGUCUACAUGGCAAAACCCUCCCAGCUGGCCAUCAGGAUCAGGAAAAGCAAGGCAGCAGGACCAGGUAAGGGGUAAGGAAUGACUGUGAAAGGCUGGGCCUUGGACGUCAGCAAGAGCCCCACGUGGAGAGAACCUCUGGGGCUGCAGGCAGGGUAAGCAGCAAGAGCUGAGGUGGAGUUCAGUUCUGGAGACGGGACAAGGCGGGAGAGAUGGAUCUUCACUGAGGGAUCCUGGGCUCCAAUUAUGGUCCAGUCAUUCCAUGUAUAGACCAGGCUUUUCUCUUGGCUGGCCAGAGUCCCAGGGACUAGGAUCCUGGCACUGUAUGAGACCGAAUGUUCCCUCUCCUGCGGAAUAUACUUUGAGGAAGGAGUUUUCAGGAGAAAGAGUUGGGGGUGAUAGAAAAGCUUACCAUUCAACUAGCACCCAGAAUCCACACCUGAAAUAGUAACUUAAUUCUCAUUUUUAAAAUGUUCUUUAUUUUUUUAGAGACAGGGCCUUGCUCUGUCACCCAGGCUGGAGUGCAGUGGCACCAUCAUGGCUCGCUGCAGCCUCAAACUCCUGAAGGUCCUCCCGCCUCAGCCUCCUGAGUAGCUGGGAUGAUAAGCAUGCACUAUCCUCUAGCCUCAGCCUCGCCAAGUGCUGGGAUUACAGGCGUGGGCCAAUGUGCCUAGCAGCGACUUAAUUCUAAACUUUGACAGAUUAUUAAUCAAUUUCUUAUCUUCCCCAUAUUUGUCUCAGGGAAGAGAUGGGGCAGUGUCUAAGGAACCUCAGUGGACUCGCCAGGAAAACUGGGAAGAAGCCUCAGGUAUUUGUACAUGCAUGUUCACAACAGCAUUAUUCACGGUAGCCAAAAAGUAGAAACAACCCAAUGUCAGGGAUGGAUGAAUGGAUAAAGGAAAUGUGAAUGGAUAAAGAUAAAUAGAAGACAUACAGUAGAAUGUGAUUCAGCCUUUAAAAAGAAGGGAAUUCUAAAAUAUACAAAUACAAUUAAAAUUUUUACAAAAAAAGGAUAAUCUCCCAUAUGCUAUAACAUACAUGAACUUAGAGAUAUUAUGCUAAGUGAAAUAAAAGGACAAAUACUGCAUGAUUCCACUUCUAUGAGGUAUCCAAAGUAGUUAAUGUGUAACAUAUAGAGAUAGAAAGCAGAAUGGGUGUUGCCAGGGGCUGGAUGGAGAGGGAAAGGGGACUUGUUUACUGGAUACAGAGUUGCAGGUUUGCAAGAUGAUGAGCUUCUGGAGAUGGGUUGCACAGCAUGUGGGCAUACAGAACUGAAUGGGGAGUUACUGCUGAAUGGAUACACAGUUUCAGUUUGGGAAGAUGAUGCAUAGUGGGGAUAGUUGUAGGAAAUGAAUGUACUUAGUGCCACAUCACUGUAUAUUUAACAUGGUUAAAAUGGUAGCUUUUAUGUUACAUGUAUUUUACCACAGUUAGAAAAAAAAAUUUUUUUUUUAAUUAUCAGGUAAGUUUCCUUCAAACUCAGGAAACUUUCUGUGGGGAAGCCGUCUUCCCCAACUAACAUAGCAACUCCUUAAAGUUUAGGAAAUGACAAAGGAUAAAAUAACAUGUUCCCUAGUGAAAAAUACAAAACAACAAAACAAAACUAGGAAGAGGCAGAUGCAGGGGAAAUAAUGAGGGGCUGGCACUUGCUUUUAGCUUCGUCUGUGCCAGUGGUUCCCGACGUCAGUGUGCCUCAGAAUACUGAGAGGGCUUGUGAAAAUGUGGAUUGCAUUUGUUGUUUUCUCUUUUUUUGCAUAAAAUCUUUCAGAAAAGAUGCAUUUGCAUUUCUAACAAGUUCCCAGGUGAUGCUGACUGUAAUUCAGGCACCACACUUUGAGAACUGCUGGCCUAUCCAAAUCCCUUUCAAGUAUCAAAACCAUGGUCAUAGUCAAGUUCUCAAAUUUUAGUAAGAGGAUUUUCCUGCAAUGUUUCUUGUAAUUCCAGAUUCCUAAGCCUAUAAAAAUAUGUCAUUUUAAAAGCUUUCCCACCUGAUUCUAAUACAGUAGGUGCUCAUUCCAUAGGCUAAUUAAUGCUGCCCUAAGCAUGCAUGAAUUAACCCAGUGGUUCUCAAAGUGUGGUCUGUGGGCCACCAGCCACAGUGGUCACCUGGGUACUAAUUAGAAAACCAUAUCCUCAGGCCCCACCCCUGACCUACUGAAUCAGAUACUCUAUGGGUGGAGCCUGUAGAUCUGGGUUUCAACAAGCCUUUUGGGUGGUUCCGGUUCACACUCAAGUUUGAGAAUCAUUGAGUUACAUCUUUGAAAACUCUUUUUUCAUUGAUACACUUCCUGAUGGCAAGCAAGAGCUUCCAGACAAUGGAUGGGAAGUUUCACCAUAUGCGUGACCAGGACUUGCUCUGUGCCCAGGCUGGAGUGCCGUGGCACAAUCAUGGCUCACUGCAGCCUUGAUAUCCCAGGCUCAAGUGAUCUUGCCACCUCAGCCAGUAGCUGGGACUGCAGGCAUGCACCACCAUGCCUGUCUAAUUUUUGCAUUUUUUGUAGAGAUGGGGUUUUGUCAUGUUGCCCAGUUUGGUCUCCAACUUCUGGGCUCAAGUGAUCCUUCCACCUCAGUCUCCCUAAGUGCUGGGAUUACAGGUGUGAGCCACUGUGCCCGGCUGAAAAGUUCGUUUCUAAGGGUUGAAAAGUGACAAAAGAGUAAAGAAUUUUCUUCUGCAGAGGUCUGCAUUAAAAACUAACAUGCACGACGGUGUCUUCAGCUUCACUAAUGGUGCCUGUAAGAAAUGGAUUUAAACUACAGCAAAAGGGAUUGCAUUAAAGGAAGAAAAUCUCUUGGCAAUAAGGAUGAUUAAACAGUGGGAUGAGCUAAAAUAGUUGAUUGUGGAAAAUUCUUCUCUGGAGGAUUUUGAAAGGAUGGCUUCUCAUCUGUCUGGAGUAAUGCUGGGGGAACGUCCUGAAUCCAUGAUUCUGAUGUUCACAUCUACAUAACAGCACAUUAAACUAAUACAGACUCUAUGUCCCUCAAGCUUAUAAAAGAGUGAUAAGUGGAAGCUUCCCUCGCUAUUAGACUGCUAGUAAAACAGAAUUAGCAAGUGGUGAACAGAUACAAUAUUAAUACACUCAGAAGACCUUGGUUUCAAUAGGAGGAAAGCCCAAUGUCUCUUUUGCCAGUCCCUUAAUCCUCUGUGAAUGAUUUAAGAGGCAUCAGCUGUUUCCCACAGAUUUGUCCUAUGGGAACUGCGUCUCCAAUAAAGAAAAAUAAGAAAUCAGCUUCCACCUGAUUAUGUCUCUCUGUGGUUCUGAUUUUAAGAUGCAGUUGGAAUUAGACAUCAAGGCAAAAGUUGCUAAAAAGGGAAGAUCUUAACUUGAAAAGAGAGGCAGGAAGGAAACCUCUGAACAAACACAGAUAGGAAUAGCAGCUUGAGAGGGCAUGCCUCCACCCUGGAUAUAAAGUGGGAGCUGAUACCACGCCAGGACAGAGGUAUCAGACCCAGCCGUGAACCCAGCUGGGGAUUAGGCCAGACGAGACACAGCCAUCACGGGGGUUAACUCUCUUAAGCAUUUCUGAUCCAGGAAAGACUGUCUUAGCCAGAUGCUUACAUUUUUUUCAGUAGGAGCCAUACCCAAAACUGAUGUAGAGGGCCGGGCGAGGUGCGUACACCUGGAAUCCCAGCACUCCGGGAGGCCGAGGCAGGGGGAUUGCUUGAGCCCAGGAGUUCAAGACCAGCCCGGGCAGUGUGUCAAAACCCUAUCUCUGCAAAAAAUACAAAAAUUAGUUAGGGGUGGUGGUACACAUCUGUAAUUCCAGCUACUCGGGAGGCUGAGGCACGAGAAUUGCUUGAAAUUGGAGCUGAGAUCUUGCCACUGCACUCCAGCCUGGGUGACAGAGCGAGACUUUGUUUCGAAAAAGUAAAAAAUAAAAAUAAGUUGGCCCUGAAGUCAAGCGACUUGGAUUAAAACCUUCUUCUACCACUUGACUAUAGACAUGAUUCUCAACAUCUCUGAGUCUCAGUUUCCUUAUUUGAAAUAGGAGGACUAAUUAGAAUUGGGUUAUUGAGGUGAUUUCAUGAGAUAAUGACUGUGCACGGGGCAGGUUGUGUGGUCAGCACUUGACAAAUCUUAGCUUUCCAGCAUUUUUCUACAGAACUGCAUGGCUCAACUCUCAGGUUCUCUAAAACGGUACCUUGCAAAUGCUAGGGUAAAAGCUGGCACCAGUCUGUAACAAAGUUUUCAGCAUUCAUUGGCAAAAGGGGAGAAGUGAGGAGAAUGGCAUGUGGGCAGGGUGGCAUUCGGUGGCCAGCGACAGUCUUCUAUCUUGGGAAGCUGGAAUUACAGAUGUGUACUCUUUCUUCUGAGGAUGUACAAUGUCCUUUGCUUUUGGAAGUAAUGAUCAUAGUGGAAGAUAUUGUAAGUUUCAUGUUCUUUGCAGCUUUAAGUUAGUCUUUAAUUUUUUCUUCCUGGUCCAUGAAAUCCAAGGGUCCAGGAACCGUUCUAAAGGGUGUGAGAAAAUACAAAGAGCGAUGGGUGGGACAGUGGCUCAGUGAUUCUGCCUGGUGGUCCAAGGGCAUGAGGGUUGCAGGUGUAUCUUCUACUUCUCUUACCACCACAGACUUUUCUUCGGGCCUCUCAGGUUCUUCCUUUUCAUGCUUUUUAUUCCUUCACCAAUUUCUCCCUCUCAUUGGGUGUGCUUCUAACUGUAUUCUCUCUCUUGCUUUUGCUCCAGGCUAUUUUCUCGUGUUUGUGGCAUUUCCCCUCUUUCCAUGCCCUCUUUCUCUUCCCUCUCACAUACUUUAUAUUUGUUUCUGGCUUUGCACGUGAUUCUUUUUUUUUUUAGGCCAUAGGUGUUGCAUCUUCAGGUGUGCCCGUGCACCCAGGUGACAGUGGUGGGGGACAGGUACAUGCUGUGUGCAGUGGAGCAGACACAGUUUGUUCCCUCCAGACAGGGGUUUAUGCUGAGACGGGAAAACAAACAUGGCCCUUUCCUAGUCUGUUUUCUGCUACUAAAACAAAAUACUAGAGAUUGGGUAAUUUAUAAAGAAAUGAAACUUAUUUCAUACUUCUGGAGGCUGGGGAGUCCAAGAGCAUGGUGCUGGCAUCUGGCAAGGACCUUCUUGCUGCAUCAUCAGAUGGCAGAACAGUAAGUGAGCAUCCAAGACAUAGAGAUCAAAUUGGGCCAAACUCAUUCUUUUUUUUUUGAGAUGGAGUCUCAUUCUCUUGCCCAGGCUGACUGGAGUGCAGUGGCACGAUCUCGGCCCACUACAACCUCUACUUCCCAGGUUUGAGCAAUUCUCCUGCCUCAGCCUCCCAAGUAGCUGGGCUUACAGAUGCCUGCCACCACACCUGGCUAAGUUUUGUAUUUUUAGUAGAGGUGGGGUUUCACCAUGUUGGCCAAGCUGGUCUUGAACCCCUGACCUCAAGUGAUCCUGCUGCCUCAGCCUAACAAAGAACUGGGAUUACAGGUGUGAGCCACUACACCCAGCCAAACUCAUUCUUUUAAUCAGGAAUCAACACAGGCGAUAACUCAAUAAUGGCAUUAAUCCACUCGUGAGGGCAGAGGCGCUAAUCACCUCUCUAAAGACUUCUGCCUGGUGGUCCAAGGGCACUUGUAUCUCAACAUGAGUUUUGGAGGGGCCUUCAAACCAUAGCAGCCUUUCAGAUGGUUCUCUCUGUCUCCACAUUCAUGACACAUCCUUCAUUAAUUAAAACAUUCCAGUUUAGCACUGAGGAUCAUUCCUCUGGUGGCUGCAUUUUUUUUCCGCCAGAGAGAGCCAGCUAGGCCAAUGCACCGCAGUUUGCCUGGGCCCUUCCCGGUUUUAGCACUAAAAGUCCCACAACCUGGGCAACUUCUGGCAAGCUGGGACAGUGUGUCGCCCUAGAGGUAGUGGUGAUGUACCCCUUAUUGGACUGUUGGUCAAAGAUUAGGCACCGGUAGGUCUGAAUUCAGAGAAUGAAACUGAUCAAGAGAGAUUUCUGGGAUCAUUUAACCCAGACAGGGGCUGGGAUCAUUUAACUCAGAGCAGAGAAAGCUGAGGUGGGGAUGGGAAGGGGCUAUUUUGGUAACAACCUUCACGUGUGUUUGCUGGGUGUGCUCGAAUGUGUGUCCAGCUGCGGUCCAUCUCCACCCGAAAUCAGAGCCAGAGGAAAUGGGUGGGAGUGGAGCCCGAAUUUACUCACGAAGCUGAAUUUACUCACGAAGCUGAAUUUCCUGACAGUAAGUAUUCUUAGACACUAGAAUGAGUUUCUAAGACAGAUUAGGCAUUGUCCUUGGCGGUCUUCAGCACAGUGAAUUCCUGAGGGCUUUAAAAGUUUAGGUGUGGCCCGAGAGCUGAGGGGAUGGGCAAAACAUAUUUCCAAGAUUCCUUCCAACCCUAGGACUCUGUUUCCAUCUACCCACUAAUUAUGGCUGUCAUUAUUUUUCUUGUCCUCUUUUGCCCGUAAACCUGAUGAUGAGCAAGAAAAAAAGUGGUUUGAUUAUAGUCUCCUUAAGGAACCAGCGAAGCUUCCCCAGAGCGUGAUGGAGAGGAAAGGCUGGAGCUCAGUGGCCCCAUCUUGGUUCACUGCAACCUCCACCUCCCAGGUUCAAGCGAUUCUCCUGCAUCAGCCUCCUGAGUAGCUGGGAUUACAGACACCUGCCACCAUGCCCAGAGCUGAGUGGGUUUGAAGAGGGAGUGGAGCUGAUGGCAGGUACUCAACCUACAGAAUUAACUGCGAGUGCACAGCUCCCAGGGAGAAGGCAAGCGCAGGUAAGCCCUUAGCAGCAUGUAUCCGGAGAAUCCUCAGGCUGGAGGCCCAGCUCUGUGAACUUAAAAAAAUAGAAUAGCAAAUUGUGAAGAAAACCAUUCAUCUGCUUCGCAGUUGUAUCUAGCGAUGCCUCAGCCAAAAUAAACAAUUAUUUAAAAUAAUUACCAAGUUUCCUCUUGAGUGACCAAUAAAGCAGCUGCAUGUAAUUACAGCAAUACAAAACAUCCCAUCCACUCAGACCUAUCAGAUUCCCAGGCCACCGUCUGUCUGUCAGGCUAUGCUGCUCCUCAUUGCCGACGCUUACACAGCGCUUCAGAUGUCCAAGCACUUUACAUAUUUUAACACGUUAAUCCUCACAACUGUCGUUUUCUACAGUUACUAUUCUUUUAAGAGGAUAAUAUAGUUGGCCCUCUCUGGGGGUUCUGUAUCUGUGGACUCAACCACUCUCAGAUUGGAAAUAUUCAGGAAAAAGUUGGCAUCUGUACUACAGGCAGAUCUUAUUCCUUGUCAUUAUUCCCUAAACAAUAACAUGCAGCAACUGUUACAUAGUAUUUCCAUUGUUUUAGGUAUCGUAAGUAAUCUAGAGAUGAUUUGAAGUAUAGGAGAAAAUGUAAGUUAUAUGCAAAUUUGACACCGUUUUAUCCAGGAACUGGAAUAUCCGUGGACUUUGGUAUCUGCAGGGGGUUCUGGAAACAAUCCCACAUGGAUGCUGAGGGACGAUGGUUGUAUGGCACAAAGCACUUCGGCAAUCUGCUGGAGUUCACACAGCUAGAAUAGUUCAAACAGAAUGAAUGGUUAAUAGUUCAAAUAGAAUAGAAUGGUUCAAAGCCAGGGUUCGAACCAAGGAAGACCUUCUCUAGUUUUUGCUCUUAUAAAUACAGUAUAGCACUUUGGGAGACCACCUGCGGUCAGGAGUUUGAGAUCAGCCUGGCCACCAUGGUGAGACCCCAUCUCUACUAAAAAUACAAACAUUAGCCAGGCCUGAUUGCAUGCACCUGUAAUCCCAGCUACUCAGGAGGUUGAGGCAGGAGGAUUGCUUAAGCCCGGGAGGCAGAGGUUGCAGUGAGUCAAGAUCACACCACUGCACUCCAUCCAGCCUGGGUGAAAGAACCAGACUCCAUCUCAAAAAAUAAAUAAGUAAAACAUAAAUGCAAUAUAGGUAAUAAUUGAAUUUGUGUAUUGCCCUACAGUUUCAAGAGCAUUUUCACCUGAUCUCAAUGGAUUUGACAGUCCCAUUUUGCAGUUGAGAACACUGAAGCCCAUUUGACUUAUCAGAGAGCUGCAGUUGACCUUACUGCUUUACCUAUCAAUAACACUCAUGGCCUUUGCUUUUAAGGUUUACAGCACUUUGCAGCUGUAAGCUCAGCUCUUUCACUGGUUCACUUUGAUGAUUAUGAAAAUUCAUUUCCAUAGAAUGCCAAGAAGAGGAGGCAUUAUAAAGGCAAUAGACAUAUUCAAGUGCAGAUUGUGAAUUGUUGGUUAAAACUCAGAAGGUAUUUUCCCAUAGAAACAGUGUGAGUCAUGGCAGUAGGUGUGCAGGCUAACCCACAAAUGCUAGGAUGUGCCUUACUGUUACCACAGUCACUGCAGUUCUCCAGGGCCUGGGGUGGAGAGAAACUCAGGUAUGGAGGGAGGACAGGGUGGUGGCGGUAGCCCCUUCCAUUGGAGGGCCAAGGCCUGGAGGUGGAGGGAGCCUGGGAGCAGCUGAGGAAAAGUCAAAAAUAAGCUGAGUGUUUGUGAACUGGGGGCCUGCCUGGCAUGGUUUAUACAUAGACUCUACAUAAGACUCUAUGCUGCUUAAAUACAAGAGAAUAACAUUUGCCUUAUUUAUUUAGUUUUCGUAUUUUAUUUUGUAGAGGGGGUGGGUCUCGUUGUGUUACCCCAGCUUGUCUUAAACUCCUGGCCUCAAGAAAUUCUCCCUCCUGGGCCUCCCAAAGUUUGGGAUUACAUUUUCCAUUUAAUCAAAGAGAUUUCCUGGAAUAACAGACACUCCACAUCUAAGGGAUAUGGAACCUUAGAUUCCGUGCUUAACAAGGUGGAGAGAGUUGAAUAGCAGGCCCAAGACCAGCUGAGAGCCAUUUACAGAGAGAAUAUCAUGUCCAAAUGAAGCUGCUUUCCCCAAGGAAUAUGGACCCUUUCCCUCCAGUCUUUAGGUCCCUGGCCUGUUUUGUUUUUGUUUUUGUUUCAUUUGUUUGUUUUCUGAGAAGGAGUCUCACUCUGUGGCCCAGGCUGGAGUGCAGUGGUGUGAUCUCGGUUCACUGCAACCUCCACCUCCCCAGUUCAAGUGAUUCUCCUGCCUUGGCCUCCAGAGUAGCUAGGAUCUCAGGUGUACACCACCAUGGCCAGCUAAUUUUUUUUGUAUUUUUAGUGGAGAUGGUUUUCAUCAUGUUGGCCAGGCUGGUCACAAACUCCUGAUCUCAAGUGAUCCUCCCUCCUCAGCCUCCCAACAUCCUGGGAUUACAGGCGUGAGCCCCCGCGCCUGGCGCCCGCCUUUACUCUUAACCUACAGACUUUGUACAGUUAAAUCUUUAUCUCAGGGUGAUAUUAGAAUCUCAUAUUUGGAGUGAAUGGAAUCAGUCCUUUGUAAUGAAGAUCUCAGAGUUUUACAUCUUUCCAAAAUCAGGAUCUUGCCAGCUGUAUCCAAGAUGGAAGCUGGGCAUGGUCAUAUAUUCAUUGAUUAAUUAUAAUAAUUAAACCCAUAUUAAUCACUGUUAGUCAUUCAUCUAUUCUACUCAUUCUAAAAAUUAGGAGGUGACUGCAAGUGUUUUUGUUUGUUGUUUUUUAUUUGGAGUCCAGGAUUUUCCCGGAUGUUCUACAAUUGUAGAAGAGUAAACAUUUCUAGGCAGAAAGCUGGUUUUUCUUGUUGACAGUACUCAGAAUUUGUUUUGUUUUCUGUUGUAUUUUUUCCUGAGAGAAAGUAAACAGGUCUACAACCCAACCUGCCUUCUGGCCUCAAAGCGUCACCCCUGUAUAUUAGCAGAGAGGAUCUGAUAAGAGAGCUGCCAUCUUAAAUUCUAGAAGCUUCUUGAUGACUUGACCAGAACCCAAGCCAGGGCCUGUGGUUCAGCGUAGCCCUGAAGACUGGAGUACCUUUUAAACUUUUCAAAUAAGCAAAACUCACUUGAGAGAGUUUUCUUAUUUUGAGCUUAAAAUUAACAGAAAAACAGUUGCAAUUUGAAUCAUCUGCGCCUUGCUCAGCAGCAGUUUAACUGAAUGCUCCAUGGAGCUACCCCAAGGGCAGAAGCCUCUCCCUCAAGAUAAGGCUACUCAGUGAUGAGUCACUAUGGGGUCUAGGACAUUCAUCAGUCCUCAAAAUGAUACCAUAAGUAAUAGCUGUAUGGCUGCCCAGAGUGAGAUAACUUCUUGGGACCAGAUGCCUUGCUCCAGCGUCUUGCAGGGAGUGGGAAUGGAAUGCAGGGUGGUGUUAAGGACAGGGAAGCUUGCUGUCUACUGGCUGGUGAGUGAGCUGAACCAGAGCCCUUGGACUCCCAGGAGAUGGCCAGCCGCACAGUGCAUCAGGCCAAAGACGGGGUCCUUUCUGCAGGGACAUUCCCAGGCCUUCUCUCCUGUGUUCAUUAGAGCAGAUAAGAAUCUGUAUUAGUUUUUAUCGAUGCUAUGACAAAUUACCAUGAGCUUCGUGGCUUAAAGACACACGCACAUUUAUUCCUUUGCAUUUCUGGAGUUCACAGGUUGGACCUGGGAGUCAUGGUACUAAAAUCAAGGUGCUUGGCUGGGCGCGGUGGCUCAAGUCUGUAAUCCCAGCACUUUGGGAGGCUGAGGCGGGCGGAUCACAAGGUUAAGAGAUUGAGACCAUCCUGGUCAACAUGGUGAAACCUUGUCUCUACUAAAGAUACAAAAAAUUAGCUGGGCAUGGUGGCGCAUGCCUGUAAUCCCAGCUACUCAGGAGGCUGAGGCAGGAGAACUGCCUGAACCCAGAGGCGGAGGUUGCGGUGCGCUGAGAUGGCACCAUUGCACUCCAGCCUGGGUAACAAGAGCAAAACUCCGUCUCAAAAAAAAAAAAAAAAAAAAAAUCAAAGAUGCUGGCAGGGCUGUGCUCCUUCUGGAUGUUCUUGGGAGAAUUUCUUCCUUGCCUUUUCCAGCCUUUGCAGGCUGUCUGCCUUCCCUCGCCUGGCCAUGCUGGCAUUCACAUCACUCCAGCCUCUGCUUUCUGUCCUCUUUCCUUCUCUGACUCUCCUGCUCCUUUCUUUCUCUGAGGAGGACCCUUCUGAUUAUGUUCAGAGUAACCCAAGCUAAUUUUCCCAUCUCAAGGUCCUUAACUUCAGCACACUGUGAAGUCCCUUUUGCUACAUAAGGCAACAUAUUCGCAGGUUACAGGGGUUGGGAUGGACCUCUUUGGGAGCCAUUAUUCUGCCCACCAGAUAAUUUAUAUUUCCCAAUACUUCUGUACUUUAUUAAGGUUUACCAACAUAGUCAACAGUCAGGUGCCACACUAUGAGCAUACGUUCGGAGAAAUGUGUUAUUAGGUGAUUGUGUUGUGUGAACAACACAGCAAGCACUUAUGCAAGGCUAGACGGCAUAGCCUACUACACACUGAGGCUGGACAGUCUAGUCUAUUGCUCCCACGCAACGAGCCUCUAUAGUAUGUCACUGAGUACUGUAGGCAACCCUAAUGCAAUGCUAAGUAUUCAUGUGUCUGAAUACAGAAAAAGCACAGUAAAAAUAUAGUGUUGUAAUUUUCUGGAACCACUGUUGUAUAUUCAGUACAUCAUUGAUUGAAAUGUUAUUAUGUGGCACAUAAUGUUUAGAUUUCUUUAAACAUUUUUUUAAUUAAUUUUUUUUCUUGACAUAGAGUUUCACUCUGUUGCCCAGGCUGGAGUUCAGUGGCAUGAUCUUGGCUCACUGCAACCUCCACCUCCCAGGUUCAAGUGAUUCUCCUCUCUCAGCCUCCUGAGUAGCUGGGAUUACAGGUGUGUGCCCCCACGCCUGGCUAAUUUUUGUAUUUUUGUAGAAAUGGGGUUUCACCAUGUUGGUCAGGCUGGUCUUGAACUCCUGACCUCAGGUGACCCACCUGCCUCGGCCUCCCAAAGUGCUGGAAUUACAGGCAUGAGCCAACAUACCUGGCCCUAAACAUUUAUUAUACAAUAGUAUACCCUCCUCUCCAAAUGUUUUUAAUCAGGGUUUUGAGUUGGAAAAUCUUUUUUUCCUCACUCUCCUAAACCGUCACCAUUAUUUUCCAUCAAGAUACCUAACACUGAUUCAGUGAGGCAUCUGCAACUCAGGAAAUUACUGAAAAUAUAACAGGAUUGUAACACACUCCAGAAUUAACCUGCCCUCAAGAGAGUAUUCUUAAAAUGUGCGUAACUCGACAGUCCAAACCAUACAAUAAGCUGAAUAUGGUAUGGAAAUAUUAAAUCAUAUAGAGUUGGCCGGGCACGGUGGCUCAUGCCUGAAAUCCCAGCACUUUGGGAGCCCAACAUGGGCACAUCACCUGAGCCCGUUUGUUGUUUAAGAGUAUGUUGUUUACUUUUCAUGUAUUUGCAUAUUUUUUUUUUCAGUUUUCCUUCUGGAGUUAAUUUCUGACAAUGUUCUGUUGUGAUCUGAGAAGGUACUUUUUAUUAUUUCGAUCUUUUAAAAUUUAUUGAGACUGUUUUUGUGGUCUGACCUAGAGAAGAAUGUAUUUGGUAGAAUGGUCUAUAUAUGUCUGUUGGGCUUAAUUGUUUAUAGUGUUAUGAAAAUCCUCUGUGUCCUUAUGGAUCCUCUGUUUAGAUGGUCUAUUCAUUAUUGAAAGUAGGGGCAUUGAAGUCUUCAACUAUUACUAUAGAACUGCCUAUUUCUCCCUUCAGUUCUGUCAAGCUUUGUAGUACAUGUUUUGGAGUUCUGUUAUAAGGUGAGUAUAUAUUUAUAAUUGUUAUAGCUUCUUGAUGAAUUGACCCUUUUAUCAAUGUGUAAUGACCUUUUUGUGUCUUUUAAUCAUUUUUGACUUAAAGCCUCCUUUCCUUCAUAUUGGUACAGCUACCCCAGCUCAUCUUCAGUUACCAUUUGCUUAGAAUCUCUUUUUAUAUCUUUCAUGUUCGAUCUUUUAGAUAUAAAGUGAGUCACUUGUGAAUAGCAUAUAGUUGAAACAUUUUAAAAUUAAUAGACUAUUUUCUUAGAGAAGUUUUAGGUUAAUGGAAAAGUUGAGUGGAAAGUACAGUUUCCAUAUACCUACUGUUAACAUCUUACAUUAUUAUAGUACACUAGGCUCCACUCUUUGUGUUGUACAUUCUGAGUUUCAACAAUUGUAUAAUGACAUGUAUCCACCACUAAAGUGUUACACAGAAUAGUUUCACUGGCAGUCUGCCAGUCUGUGUAUUUUAACUAGUGAGU
Molecule: non-coding RNA, 16716 nt
Organism: Callithrix jacchus (white-tufted-ear marmoset)
Lineage: Eukaryota; Metazoa; Chordata; Mammalia; Primates; Cebidae
Source: RefSeq, a predicted model, not a curated record